CUCAGAAUUGCUAGUUUUGUGAUAGCAUUUCUUAAAGGACGAUGGACUAGGAGGGUGUUGCAACCGGAGUUUUAGCAGGAGGCAUCACAUUACAGUCAGCUGCAUCACGGGUAUAAUUUGCAGUGAUUUGAAACCAUAGAAACAAAUGAAAGCCACGGCCCGUGUUUGCACUGAGCUGAGAUUGCAGGCGCGUGACCUGUUCACACUGCCAAAAGUGUCUCCACCAGGGUCGUCGCCUUGAUUAUUAAUUGCUGCUGUAGACAGAAGCCUGGUGACAAAGACAGAGCAGUGAGAGAAGCAGUGCAUCAGAACUCUACUAAUGUCGGGCCGGGCACGGUGGCUCAAGACUGUAAUCCCAGCACGUUGGGAGGCCCAGGCGGGUGGAUCACGAGGUCAAGAGAUCGAGACCAUCCUGGUCAACAUGGUGAAACCCCGUCUCUACUAAAAAGACAAAAAUUAGCUGGGCAUGGUGGCGCGUGCCUGUAAUCCCAGCUACUCGGGAGGCUGAGGCAGGAGAAUUGCCUGAACCCAGGAGGCGGAGGUUGCAGUGAGCCGAGAUUGUGCCAUUGCACUCCAGCCUGGGUAACAAGAGCGAAACUCUGUCUCAAAAAAAAAAAAAAAAAGAACUCCACGAAUCUCUCCUUACUCAUUUUGCUCAAGCAGGCAUCCCUCUACCACACCACCUACGUUUAAGGAAAUGGUGGCUCCAUCCCCAACUCAGGCAAAUAUAUUCUGAUUAUUUUAAGCCAUUUAAAGCAGUUCCGUGGUAUCCUUUUCAGGCCAAGGAGAUAUGAGGAGGAGUUGGAUGAAGGUUCUGGAAAAAUGUCUCCACUUUUAAGUAGGUAACACUGAAAAAUCAGACCUUUUCAACUUCUCCAUUCAUUCUGUCUGGAUGUGAUGGCUGGAAAUGCUACCAGCUGCGGAAGAAGCCAAAACGUGAAGGAGAGAAUCCAGAGAAGUGUGGGGAAGCUGAGCUGGACCCUGGCAAACUGUGCUGGGGUUGCGCCACCUCCGCUGCAGGCACUUCGAGUCGGGGCUUUCGGGCACUUACAGUCAAAGGCAUCUAAACUCACCCAGUGUUGUAUAAGAGGCGAAAUACCCUGACUUUCCUAACCCUCCAGAAAUCCCUUUGUUGCUUUUUUGUCCUUUGGUGUAAAACACUUCCCAGAAUUCUUUUCUGGGAAAAAAAAAAAAAAAAUCCCUGCUGAGAACUUAGCCCAGUGCUGCACUGAGAAAUGUACUAAAUAGUUACCAAUGAUUGCUAUGCUCUGCUUUUGUUCUUUUAAUCACUAUUUCAAUUUGAUUAUUAUAACUUGUGACUGCAAAAUAAUUUAAAGUGUGUAAAUUGCUUUGCGUCAUUUCAUUUAGUUCAAAUAGCAGCCCCGUGAGAUAGAGGAAAAGAAGAUGUGAAAAAAUGGAGCCCAGAAAGAUUACAGUAUUUUGACCAACACCAGGAAUCUCGAAAAUGUCUUAAAUCUAAGCCCUCAAAGCUAGUGCUGUUUCCAUCAAAUCACAGCUACAGAUUAGAGCAAACCUAGGAGUUAUCAUGAAGGAAACGUUUGCAAAAGAGAAGCAGGAAUGCAGCUCCAGACCACGUGCAAGGAAACUGGGAUCUGCUCCGGGCUGUGUCAUCCCUAGCUGUGAAAACCUAGAAACAAAACAGCUGAGGCAAAAAAGAGACGAUUCUCUCCGCCCAAAGUCGGUGCCCUCAUCCAAACUGUUUAACCGUGAUCACCAGCACCUUGGUGAGUUAGAGCCGGAAUGAAUAUCACACUACAGUUUGUUCAACACAUCUGUCAUAACUCAGGUGUCCAUUUCUGCUUCUCCUUGUUUUUAUGCUGGCAUUUUAGGGUGAAAUAGGAGGGUAUCAAUCCAGUCUCAGGUUGUCCAUCCAGCAGUCAUUCUCCAAAUCAAGUUCUUUUCAUCAUCAGUAGCUCCACGAACGGGCAAAAUAUCUUCCUCCUUGCUAGUCCUAGACCCUCGAGAGGUGGCAUCUCUGUUCUCGUGAGUACCCAAAAUGGGAAAAUGUGGGACAGUUCUCAUCUCUCUUUACUGCUCUGCUCCUUUGUUUAUCAUGUUAACUGCACAGAAGACUGCACAGAAAUAUUAGAUUUUACUGAUUGGUUGGAGGUGGCUGAUGAAAAUUAUAAUCUAGGGUGAGAAAAAAAGAUAUUUCUUCCUUUUUCUUUUG
Non-coding RNA from Callithrix jacchus (white-tufted-ear marmoset), 2191 nucleotides. NCBI's taxonomy places the organism in Eukaryota, Metazoa, Chordata, Mammalia, Primates, Cebidae. The record is from RefSeq and is a predicted model, not a curated record.